This is a non-coding RNA of Haemonchus placei, 78 nucleotides long. The record is from Rfam. Lineage: Eukaryota; Metazoa; Nematoda; Chromadorea; Rhabditida; Trichostrongylidae.
GGUGAAGUGAAACACUUUGCAGGGCCUUUCAUAAGACCCAAUGCUAAAUUUUUGCAGACCCUUGCAGGAGCAAGGGUG